Molecule: transfer RNA, 76 nt
Filed under: Candidatus Brocadiaceae bacterium
Lineage: Bacteria; Pseudomonadati; Planctomycetota; Candidatus Brocadiia; Candidatus Brocadiales; Candidatus Brocadiaceae
Description: tRNA-Lys
Rfam family: tRNA
About the family: Transfer RNA (tRNA) molecules are approximately 80 nucleotides in length. Their secondary structure includes four short double-helical elements and three loops (D, anti-codon, and T loops).
Source: RNAcentral
ACCCCCUUAGCUCAGUCGGCAGAGCAGCGGAUUCUUAAUCCGCGAGUCCGGGGUUCGAGCCCCCGAGGGGGUACCA